Empidonax traillii (willow flycatcher) is the source of this 2241-nucleotide long non-coding RNA. RefSeq lists it as uncharacterized. Lineage: Eukaryota; Metazoa; Chordata; Aves; Passeriformes; Tyrannidae. The transcript is spliced from 2 exons. The record is from RefSeq and is a predicted model, not a curated record.
AACAUUUUUAUGAAAACAGGUUGCAUAGCUGGCGUGUUCUAAAACCAUUCCUUGGUUCAUCCCUAGGAGAGAAUUUAGCAAUUCUCCCCGUGUGCUCCUGCUGUUUAUCUUUUGCUAAACAGAGGAAAGCAGAUUAUGGCUUUUAAGAGCUAAGCUCUGGCUUUUCUGCAGGUCUGUGUGAGGAGGGACAUGUUGCUUUGGUGCCUUGAAUGCAAAAAUGCUUAGCUUAGGAGCAUGUCUAAAUAGGCUUAAUACAAAACUUCAAGAGUCAUACAGGUAGCUAUUUUAGUUCAGUUUAAGUUUGCCAAAAUAACACAUACAAACCAGAAUGAAAAAUGGCCAUGCAGCUCUUUGUACUUAAAUGCAUUGGUUUAAUUUAGGUUACUGCAACCUCUUUUUUAAUGCAAGCAAAGUCUGAGUUAAAUGCUUUUAUCAGGUGGAGAAGGGAGAUUGUCAUUAUCAGUGUACCUUGCAAGAGGUAUGGCUGACUUUAUCAGUAAGGGAAGGACUGGGGAUUAGAAGGUCCAGAGGGGCUGUGCUGAACAAUUGUUUUCUGUAACUGAAGAGGGGGUAAACCCAGACUGAUUUUUGUCUGGAUGGACUUGGAACAUUGUACAGCGAAAGGCUACAAUUAGCAAUUUAACACUCAUUAAUUGGAAGGUGUUCACAAGAACUGCCUUCUCAAAAUUAACUCUGAAGUAAUGAGAAGUCUACAACUUUGCAUUCAUUCAUUCACUACUGGAAUUCAUAUUACAGAUCACUAUUGUGUAAAAGCAUUUCUCCGAGAAGUCAGUAGACCAUUCUCCUGAAAUAAUUAUUCACUACCAGUUCAAAAACAAGUUCGUGUGUGAGAUAUUGCACCAGCUAAUAUUAGGAUAAACUGGAGUAACGAAAGCCACAGGGCUCUGCACACUAAGGAGCUUUCGCAAUACUUAGCACAGGUAACCUCAUCAGCUUUUCCUAGUUUCCAAAGGGCAUUUAAUUUCUGGUGUAAACCUACUCAGUUCCAGCAGGGUUCUUGAGCUGCAUUUAUGUAGACAUUGAAAGAAAGCAGUGACACAGACCAUGCACCAUCCUUGUGGUCUUCACUUGCCCGACAUAGCAGAAUUCAUGUUUUUUCAAGGAAGUAUUCUGUGCAGUUCCACACAGCUGUAUCACUGAACUUUGUCUCCUGUUCUUAAAAAAUAAGUCACUAUAAACUACUGUUGCAGUGCUUUUUUUCCUUUUUUUCUUUUACUGAUAAUUCUAAUCCCUAGCCUGCAGACAUUGUUAAACUUCUAGUAAAGGAGUGCAACAUCUCUGCCAGCAAUUUUUCUUAAGCUCAGAGAAAAUAAUUCAAUACUUCCUAUUCUCAUGGCACUGGAUACUGCAUUUGGUGGGGAAAACUACACUCUCAGAAAUAUUUCCAUCAUACGUAUUUUUGUAUUUACCUUCAGCUUAGCAUAAUAAAUACCUCAGCAGGGGUGGCUUUUCAAUUUCAGAGAGAAAACAUAAGUGGACCAGAUAUUGCAUUACAAAAUAACUAGAAAAGACAGUUUGUGUGCAUGUAAGUUGUUUCUCUGCUUAACCUUAUCUAGUGUAAACAGUUUUCCAGUACAAGAUUUGGGGGGUUUGUAUGUAGUUUACAUUCCCAUAAUGCAUAUCCCAAGAUUUCCUUAGCAUGUGCAAAGGAUGACAAAUAUCAGUACUUCAUACAACUAUAUUUAAUAAGUUAUUACAGAAAAAAAUAAAGUCCAAACUACAAAGUUUAAGCAGUUGUAAGCAAUAGCAGCAUUGAGCUCCAUGUUUAGUCACAGUACUGCAGUUCCAUACAAGCAUUAGUCCAAGCCAAAAAGGAAGAAGCCUUGUUAGAAUUACUAGCAAAAACAAUCUAGGAGAACAUGUAAUAAAAGAUACAGUACAUUUAAAAUUAGUUGAAAAACAAGUACAGAGAUCUUAGCUGUGAAUGUUCUAAAAGUUAUGUCCAUUAGUUUGACAGUAAAAUUACAAAUAUCUAAUACUUUAUACCCCAACAGAACUAUAUCCAGGAAAGAAAAAAGAGCAAAAUUAUCUCUUAUUAGCACCCUGGUUUUCCACUUACUGAUGAACUUUUUCUCAUGUAAAUUUGAGUGUGUCAGAAUUACGUGACCAAUGUGAUUUCUGACCAGCUACCCAUUUGGGGUAUAGAGUAAUCACUAACAUGAAUAUAAAAUACUCUGUGGUAUGAUAGAACACUAUAGCAGCAGAGAUUAAGAAGUUUGU